RNAcentral lists this transfer RNA (73 nucleotides) under Ailuropoda melanoleuca (giant panda). It matches the Rfam family "tRNA". From Rfam's summary of the family: Transfer RNA (tRNA) molecules are approximately 80 nucleotides in length. Their secondary structure includes four short double-helical elements and three loops (D, anti-codon, and T loops). Further hydrogen bonds mediate the characteristic L-shaped molecular structure. tRNAs have two regions of fundamental functional importance: the anti-codon, which is responsible for specific mRNA codon recognition, and the 3' end, to which the tRNAs corresponding amino acid is attached (by aminoacyl-tRNA synthetases). tRNAs cope with the degeneracy of the genetic code in two manners: having more than one tRNA (with a specific anti-codon) for a particular amino acid; and 'wobble' base-pairing, i.e. permitting non-standard base-pairing at the 3rd anti-codon position. Lineage: Eukaryota; Metazoa; Chordata; Mammalia; Carnivora; Ursidae. The record is from Rfam by way of RNAcentral.
ACCUGGCUGUCUCAGUGGGUAGAGUAUGUGACUCUUGAUAGCAGGGCCAUGAGUUCAAGCCCCAUGUUGGGUG